This 507-nucleotide ribosomal RNA is filed under the name Triticum aestivum (bread wheat). RNAcentral's name for it is "partial small subunit ribosomal RNA". The record is from RNAcentral. Lineage: Eukaryota; Viridiplantae; Streptophyta; Magnoliopsida; Poales; Poaceae.
AUGGCAGCAUUCCUCAGGUCCAAGUGUUCGUCAGUUGGACGUGCUAUGAUGGGAAGCCUUGGAAACAAUCUGUACGGGGGCGCUAGCUCGUCUAUUGAAACAGUGGCAAGACCAUCUCGUUCUGAUGCUGUCUGCCAGCAAAUUAGAACAUUCAUCCAGAUGAGAACAAACCUCAAGGUGGUGGACAACUCGGGAGCCAAGCGGGUUAUGUGCAUACAGUCCCUUAGGGGGAAGAAAGGAGCGAGGCUCGGGGACAUGAUCAUCGGCUCUGUCAAGGAAGCGCAGCCUCGUGGUAAGGUCAAGAAAGGAGACGUGGUCUAUGGGGUGGUUGUCCGUGCUGCCAUGAAGAAGGGGCGCAGUGAUGGCAGCGAGGUCCAGUUCGACGACAACGCGAUCGUGAACAACAAGGGUGAGCUGAUUGGCACCCGUGUCUUUGGUCCUGUCCCCCAUGAGCUCAGGAAGAAGAAGCAUCUCAAGAUCCUGGCUCUGGCUGAGCACAUAGUAUGA